AUAGUUUGAUCCUGGCUCAGGAUGAACGCUAGCGGAGGGCUUAACACAUGCAAGUCGAGGGGUAACAGGGAAGCUUGCUUCUGCUGACGACCGGCGCACGGGUGAGUAACGCGUAUGAAACCUACCCUUUACUGGGGGAUAGCCACGGGAAACUGUGAUUAAUACCCCAUAGUACUAAUUAGAGGCAUCUUUAAUUAGUUAAAGGUUACGGUAAAGGAUGGUCAUGCGUGACAUUAGUUUGUUGGUGAGGUAACGGCUCACCAAGACUACGAUGUCUAUGGGGUCUUAAAGGAUGAUCCCACACACUGGUACUGAGACACGGACCAGACUCCUACGGGAGGCAGCAGUGAGGAAUAUUGGUCAAUGGGCGAGAGCCUGAACCAGCCAAUCCGCGUGAGGGAAGACUGCCCUAGUGGUUGUAAACCUCUUUUAUAUAGGAAGAAUAAGCAGGACGUGUCCUGUGAUGCCUGUACUAUAUGAAUAAGCAUCGGCUAACUCCGUGCCAGCAGCCGCGGUAAUACGGAGGAUGCGAGCGUUAUCCGGAUUUAUUAGGUUUAAAGGGUGCGUAGGCUGGACUUUAAGUCAGUGGUGAAAUCCUGCGACUCAACCGUAGAACUGCCAUUGAUACUGAAGACCUUGAGUACAGCCGAGGUAGGCGGAAUAUGUUAUGUAGCGGUGAAAUGCAUAGAUAUAACAUAGAACACCGAUUGCGAAGGCAGCUUACCAAACUGUAACUGACGCUGAUGCACGAAAGCGUGGGUAGCGAACAGGAUUAGAUACCCUGGUAGUCCACGCCGUAAACGAUGUUCACUGGUUGCUAGCGACAUAUUGUUAGUGACUGAGCGAAAGUAUUAAGUGAACCACCUGGGGAGUACGUUCGCAAGAAUGAAACUCAAAGGAAUUGACGGGGGCCCGCACAAGCGGAGGAACAUGUGGUUUAAUUCGAUGAUACGCGAGGAACCUUACCUGGGGCUCAAACGUAGGUUGACAGAGUUAGAGAUAGCUUUUUCUUCGGACAAUCUACGAGGUGCUGCAUGGUUGUCGUCAGCUCGUGCCGUGAGGUGUCGGGUUAAGUCCCAUAACGAGCGCAACCCCUAUCUUUAGUUGCCAGCGGGUCAAGCCGGGGACUCUAAAGAGACUGCCACCGUAAGGUGAGAGGAAGGUGGGGAUGACGUCAAAUCAGCACGGCCCUUACGUCCAGGGCUACACACGUGUUACAAUGGUCGGUACAAAGGGCAGCUACACAGCAAUGUGAUGCUAAUCUCUAAAGCCGGUCACAGUUCGGAUUGGAGUCUGCAACUCGACUCUAUGAAGCUGGAUUCGCUAGUAAUCGCAUAUCAGCCAUGAUGCGGUGAAUACGUUCCCGGGCCUUGUACACACCGCCCGUCAAACCAUGGAAGUCGGGGGUACCUGAAGUGCGUGACCGCAAGGAGCGUCCUAGGGUAAAUCUGAUAACUGGGGUUAAGUCGAAACAAGGUA
RNAcentral lists this ribosomal RNA (1479 nucleotides) under metagenome. Its description in RNAcentral is "bacterial SSU rRNA". It matches the Rfam family "Bacterial small subunit ribosomal RNA". The record is from RNAcentral.